UGGGUUGUGGCUGAGUGGUAGAGUGCUUGCCUAGCAUACAUGAGGCUCUGUGUUCAAUCCUCAGCACCACAU
This 72-nucleotide transfer RNA is filed under the name Ictidomys tridecemlineatus (thirteen-lined ground squirrel). RNAcentral describes it as "Spermophilus tridecemlineatus (thirteen-lined ground squirrel) tRNA". It matches the Rfam family "tRNA". Rfam says of the family: Transfer RNA (tRNA) molecules are approximately 80 nucleotides in length. Their secondary structure includes four short double-helical elements and three loops (D, anti-codon, and T loops). Further hydrogen bonds mediate the characteristic L-shaped molecular structure. tRNAs have two regions of fundamental functional importance: the anti-codon, which is responsible for specific mRNA codon recognition, and the 3' end, to which the tRNAs corresponding amino acid is attached (by aminoacyl-tRNA synthetases). tRNAs cope with the degeneracy of the genetic code in two manners: having more than one tRNA (with a specific anti-codon) for a particular amino acid; and 'wobble' base-pairing, i.e. permitting non-standard base-pairing at the 3rd anti-codon position. Lineage: Eukaryota; Metazoa; Chordata; Mammalia; Rodentia; Sciuridae. The record is from Rfam by way of RNAcentral.